CCUACGGGAGGCAGCAGUGAGGAAUAUUGGUCAAUGGGCGAGAGCCUGAACCAGCCAAGUAGCGUGCAGGAAGACGGCCCUAUGGGUUGUAAACUGCUUUUAUAGGGGAAUAAAGUGAUCUACGUGUAGUUUAUUGUAUGUACCCUAUGAAUAAGGACCGGCUAAUUCCGUGCCAGCAGCCGCGGUAAUACGGAAGGUUCGGGCGUUAUCCGGAUUUAUUGGGUUUAAAGGGAGCGUAGGCCGUAGAUUAAGCGUGUUGUGAAAUGUAGAUGCUCAACAUCUGACUUGCAGCGCGAACUGGUUUACUAGAGUGUGCGCAACGUAGGCGGAAUUCGUCGUGUAGCGGUGAAAUGCUUAGAUAUGACGAAGAACUCCGAUUGCGAAGGCAGCUUACGGGAGCACAACUGACGCUGAAGCUCGAAGGUGCGGGUAUCAAACA
This 439-nucleotide ribosomal RNA is filed under the name uncultured Veillonella sp. RNAcentral's name for it is "bacterial SSU rRNA". It matches the Rfam family "Bacterial small subunit ribosomal RNA", at positions 338 to 774 of the family's 1533-position model. Lineage: Bacteria; Bacillati; Bacillota; Negativicutes; Veillonellales; Veillonellaceae. The record is from RNAcentral.